UACGGGAGGCAGCAGUGGGGAAUAUUGCACAAUGGGCGGAAGCUGAUGCAGCAACGCCGCGUGAGGGAUGACGGCUUUCGGGUUGUAAACCUCUUUUAGCAGGGAAGAAGCGAGAGUGACGGUACCUGCAGAAAAAGCACCGGCUAACUACGUGCCAGCAGCCGCGGUAAUACGUAGGGUGCAAGCGUUAUCCGGAAUUAUUGGGCGUAAAGAGCUCGUAGGCGGUCUGUCGCGUCUGCUGUGAAAUCCCGAGGCUCAACCUCGGGCUUGCAGUGGGUACGGGCAGACUAGAGUGCGGUAGGGGAGAUUGGAAUUCCUGGUGUAGCGGUGGAAUGCGCAGAUAUCAGGAGGAACACCGAUGGCGAAGGCAGAUCUCUGGGCCGUAACUGACGCUGAGGAGCGAAAGGGUGGGGAGCAAACAGGCUUAGAUACCCUGGUAGUCCACCCCGUAAACGUUGGGAACUAGUUGUGGGGUCCUUUCCACGGAUUCCGUGACGCAGCUAACGCAUUAAGUUCCCCGCCUGGGGAGUACGGCCGCAAGGCUAAAACUCAAAGGAAUUGACGGGGACCCGCACAAGCGGCGGAGCAUGCGGAUUAAUUCGAUGCAACGCGAAGAACCUUACCAAGGCUUGACAUACGCGAGAACGCCCUAGAAAUAGGGAACUCUUUGRACACUCGUGAACAUGGUGGUGCAUGGUGUCGUCAGCUCGUGUC
This 714-nucleotide ribosomal RNA is filed under the name Microbacterium sp. RNAcentral's name for it is "bacterial SSU rRNA". It matches the Rfam family "Bacterial small subunit ribosomal RNA", at positions 340 to 1066 of the family's 1533-position model. Lineage: Bacteria; Bacillati; Actinomycetota; Actinomycetes; Micrococcales; Microbacteriaceae. The record is from RNAcentral.